Long non-coding RNA from Aedes aegypti (yellow fever mosquito), 537 nucleotides. RefSeq lists it as uncharacterized. The transcript has 2 exons. NCBI's taxonomy places the organism in Eukaryota, Metazoa, Arthropoda, Insecta, Diptera, Culicidae. The record is from RefSeq and is a predicted model, not a curated record.
CUCUAUUACCUCAUGUGCCAUAAAAUUUUAGGCAACUGCAAAGGAUAUGAAGGUCUGUAUUUCGUCUUCGAUAGCAUCCUAUUAUAGACCACUACGUGUGGAUCUCGUUCCACCUUCUAAUACUUGCUCUGAAACUAACACAAGUUCUAUUUUUGUAAAUUUCAGAUUCUCUAGGAUCACGAUGAAACCCCACUCGGCUGCUAUUCAUAAUGGGCCGUUUUGGCGUUGCACGCAUUAUUGCAAGACUCGGUGCCGGGCCAAUUUGGUUACGACAAACCAGAGCAAGAAAAUAUCCACCGGCAGUCCGGUGCAUAGCCACAUUGCUGAUUAUCCCGAAUUGAUCGAGGGAAUAUAGUUGUGCGGGGCCAAGUUCACGCCAAACUACUAACAGGUUAUCCAUCUGGACAUCACUGGCGAAGCAUUUUUUGAAGACAACAACUUAAAACCGAAGAUUCGACGAUGACAGUUACAAUACUCUUUAAUUUUUUUUUUUGAUUGUUUUAAAUUGCCAAUUAAUAAAGUGAACUGUGAUAUCUA